RNAcentral lists this long non-coding RNA (1107 nucleotides) under Manihot esculenta (cassava). Its description in RNAcentral is "long non-coding RNA (MESC_LNC002986)". The record is from RNAcentral. Lineage: Eukaryota; Viridiplantae; Streptophyta; Magnoliopsida; Malpighiales; Euphorbiaceae.
GAAGUUUUGGAGCUUGGAGACACAAGGAGUUUGAUUUCUCCUAUCUCCGAGUUAGGGAUCGCACCAACCCUCGAUCUUCAAGAGGUAAGUGUAGAUCUUUGCCUUCCUUUAUGUUUUAAUGAAGUUUUAAGAAGUUUUGAUGCUUGUGUGUGGGUAGAUGUGCAUGUUAAGGUUUAUGUGGGUUUUAUGCUCAAUGUAUAUUUAUGUGAUGUUAUGUUGAGAGGUUUAAGCUAGUUUAUGCCCUAUAUGCAUGUGGGAGUGUGUAUGCAUGUUUGGGAGAGAGCAUGUGAGGUUUUGGGUUGUUUUGGAAGGUUUGGGAGGCUGUUUGUGCAUGAGGAGGCUGAGUUCUGCCAUUCUGGAAGAACUCAGGUUCGGCAGCCGAAGGACUUUCGGCCACCGAACCUGCCUGUGGAGGCAAGCUUUUGGCUGUCGAACCCUGCCCCCGAAAGUUGGACUUUCAGCACUGGAGGGGAGUUUCAGCCACCGAAGGUGCCGCCGAACAUGCAUGAGUUUCGUCUCUGGAAGGGACUUUUGGCCGCCGAAGGUGCCGCCAAAAGUGGCUGAGUUUCGGCUCUGGAGGGACUUUCGGCUGCCGAACCUGCCGCCGAAAGUGCCCUGUCCAGCCUUCCUUUGCAUAAUUUCUAUGAUUAUUCUAUGAUGUUUUAGGGGGUUUUUGGGGAGUUGUUUAGAGUUGUGUUAGAGUGUGUUUGGUCCCUCAUUUGAGUCCACCUGUGUAGGAUCGGACCCGAGGAACCAAGGAGGCCAGCAGUGUUAGCUGUUGCAGAGUCAGUCCAGCGUCUGCCAGAGGUGAGUAGAACUAACUCAAAUGUUUUAAGCAUGUUCACGCAUCAUGAAUACCAUGUAUAUGUAUUAGGCUGUUGCAUUAGAUUUCACGAAGAUGUUGCAUUGCAUAAUUUGCUGUUGAUAUGGAUGGACCAAGGCGACCCUAAUAGCCCUAGAUAUGAUAUGUUAAUGAAGUCUUGAGGAGCCCUUCGAGGGCCGGGCACAGACAGAGGGAGUUUUGGAGGUCAUGUCCAUCCGUGAUGUGAAUUGUUUGUGCUGUAACGCAUUCCAUGAAAGCAUAUGAUCAUUAUUAUUGUUUUUCUG